GAUGAACGCUGGCGGCGUGCCUAAUACAUGCAAGUCGAGCGAACAGAUAAGGAGCUUGCUCCUUUGACGUUAGCGGCGGACGGGUGAGUAACACGUGGGUAACCUACCUAUAAGACUGGGAUAACUUCGGGAAACCGGAGCUAAUACCGGAUAACAUUUGGAACCGCAUGGUUCUAAAGUGAAAGAUGGUUUUGCUAUCACUUAUAGAUGGACCCGCGCCGUAUUAGCUAGUUGGUAAGGUAACGGCUUACCAAGGCAACGAUACGUAGCCGACCUGAGAGGGUGAUCGGCCACACUGGAACUGAGCCACGGUCCAGACUCCUACGGGAGGCAGCAGUAGGGAAUCUUCCGCAAAGGGCGAAAGCCUGACGGAGCAACGCCGCGUGAGUGAUGAAGGGUUUCGGCUCGUAAAACUCUGUUAUUAGGGAAGAACAAAUGUGUAAGUAACUGUGCACGUCUUGACGGUACCUAAUCAGAAAGCCACGGCUAACUACGUG
This 497-nucleotide ribosomal RNA is filed under the name uncultured bacterium. Its description in RNAcentral is "partial 16S ribosomal RNA". It matches the Rfam family "Bacterial small subunit ribosomal RNA", at positions 28 to 507 of the family's 1533-position model. The record is from RNAcentral.